Molecule: long non-coding RNA, 744 nt
Filed under: Chinchilla lanigera (long-tailed chinchilla)
Lineage: Eukaryota; Metazoa; Chordata; Mammalia; Rodentia; Chinchillidae
Description: lncRNA (ENSCLAG00000025652.1)
Source: RNAcentral
CUGCUGUGUGACCUGUGCACCUCUACAAGAAGAUUGUGUAACAUGCAGCAUGCCUUCGAUCCAAAUAAACUCCCAGAAUUAUUAAAAGAAUGGUUUUUUCCUCCUGAGGUCAAGGAUGAAUCCUUAGCACCCAGAAGUGGGGAGCAAUGCGGCUAGGACAGGUAACGCAGGCAGGACGCUAUUCAGUGCUGCCCCCAGAGAGGACCAACAUCCAGAAGCUCAGUUUUGCUGGUCACUUAGCUGAGAACCUGAGGUUUGGCAUGGACCCACAUGUCUUCAGAUGCCUGAAAGCUGCAGUACAGUAUGUGACCAUUUUUCCUGCUGACCCUUAGAGCAUUACAGCUUCUACUUUGUGUACCUUGAGCGUCCUACACUUGAGAUGUUCAAAACUAAUUCAGGCUCAGCAAUGUCUUCCUCUUCCAGCUCUGUUCCAAAGUUGCAAUCAAUGGGAAACUCAAAUUUCUUUGACUCUGACAGAAAGAAAAAAAAAAAGUAAAAUAAAAUGGACCCAGGGUCAUGUUGUGCUUCUGAGAGAACAAAGGGAGAUUUGUGGGUGAUCCAGCUGUAGGGUGUCUCAUCCUCUGGCCAUACCCCACUUUCACAAGGGUGAUCUCUCCCACUCCUGUGCAUAAUCACAGCCCGGGUUCUGUCUGACUUUGCACAUGCUGUCUUUCCUAAAGAGACAUUUGUCAUGACACAUAAUGCGAAUAAAGAUGGGAACAGUCCACUCUACUUGGAUUUGCU